UUACAAUGGCAGGUACAGAGGGAUGCUACCGGGCGACCGGAUGCGGAUCUCGAAAGCCUGUCCCAGUUCGGACUGGAGUCUGCAACCCGACUCCACGAGGUUGGAUUCGCUAGUAAUCGCGCAUCAGCCAUGGCGCGGUGAAUACAUUCCCGGGCCUUGUACACACCGCCCGUCAAGCCAUGGGAGCCGGGGGCGCCUGAAGUCCGGGACCGCGAGGACCGGCCUAGGGCGAAACUGGUAACUGGGGCUAAGUCGUAACAAGGUAAC
RNAcentral lists this ribosomal RNA (267 nucleotides) under uncultured bacterium. RNAcentral's name for it is "partial 16S ribosomal RNA". It matches the Rfam family "Bacterial small subunit ribosomal RNA", at positions 1225 to 1500 of the family's 1533-position model. The record is from RNAcentral.